UACGAAGGGGGCUAGCGUUGCUCGGAAUCACUGGGCGUAAAGGGUGCGUAGGCGGGUCUUUAAGUCAGGGGUGAAAUCCUGGAGCUCAACUCCAGAACUGCCUUUGAUACUGAAGAUCUUGAGUUCGGGAGAGGUGAGUGGAACUGCGAGUGUAGAGGUGAAAUUCGUAGAUAUUCGCAAGAACACCAGUGGCGAAGGCGGCAUCCUGGACCGGUAUUGACGCUGAGGCGCGAAAGCUAGGGGAGCAAACGGG
This 253-nucleotide ribosomal RNA is filed under the name uncultured bacterium. RNAcentral's name for it is "partial 16S ribosomal RNA". It matches the Rfam family "Bacterial small subunit ribosomal RNA", at positions 524 to 776 of the family's 1533-position model. The record is from RNAcentral.